RNAcentral lists this ribosomal RNA (476 nucleotides) under uncultured bacterium. RNAcentral's name for it is "bacterial SSU rRNA". It matches the Rfam family "Bacterial small subunit ribosomal RNA", at positions 36 to 518 of the family's 1533-position model. The record is from RNAcentral.
CUGGCGGCGUGCGUUCAUACAUGCAAGUCGAACGAGAAGCAGGAGCGUUGCGUCCUGUGGAAAGUAGGCGGACGGGUGGAGUAACGACGUAGGGAAGUCUAGCCUUUUAGGGAUGGGGACGAACAGUUGGAAACGACUGCUAAACCCGAUAUGAGCUAAGUUGAAAUACUUAUCUUGAAAACUACCGGUGCCUAGAGAUGAGCCUGCGUCUGAUUAGCUUGUUGGCGGGGUAAAUGCCCACCAAGGCGACGAUCAGUAGCUGGUUUGAGAGGAUGAUCAGCCACAAUGGGACUGAGACACGGCCCAUACUCCUACGGGAGGCAGCAGUAGGGAAUUUUGCGCAAUGGGGGAAACCCUGACGCCAGCAACGCCGCGUGGACGAAGAAGCCCUUCGGGGUGUAAAGUUCUGUCAGUAGGGAAGAAACAAUGACUGUACCUACAGAGGAAGCACCGGCUAACUCCGUGCCAGCAGCUGC